GCUGGGUGCGGUGACUCACGCCUGUAAUCCCAGCACUUUGGGAGGCUGAGGCAGGUGGAUCACCUGAGGUCAGGAGUUCGAGACCAGCCUGGCCAACAUGGUGAAACCCUGUCUCUA
This is a non-coding RNA of Gorilla gorilla gorilla (western lowland gorilla), 117 nucleotides long. It matches the Rfam family "Metazoan signal recognition particle RNA". From Rfam's summary of the family: The signal recognition particle (SRP) is a universally conserved ribonucleoprotein. It is involved in the co-translational targeting of proteins to membranes. The record is from Rfam. NCBI's taxonomy places the organism in Eukaryota, Metazoa, Chordata, Mammalia, Primates, Hominidae.